AAGGUAAUUCCCCUCUUUAAUCAUGUUUCUUAUCCUUUAAAAUAUAUCAAUAAUUUUUUUAUUAUUCCAAGUUUUGCUUGUGUGCCUAUUUUGAUGAAUGGCUUUAUUUUUUCAGUCCUUAUUUGUCGCUUAGAAUUUUGCAGGAUGGUGUCCGUUGUCAUGUAUUGUCUGAAUUGUGCAAAUUAAUGCCUGUAAUUUUUCAUUUUAUUGUUUGCAUUGGCAAGGAUCCAAGUCAGUGAUAAGUUGGCGUGGGGUGUCGACCAUGUUUUAUGCUGACACUUAGGGGAUGAUAUACAGGUUUUCCCCAAGCUUUUUUUGAGCUUGGAUUUGCAUUGGUUAUUUGUCAUGUUAUGCGUGGGAACCAAAUCCCCUAGGUGUCAUGUUUUAACAUGAAUGAUCUGUUUGAAGGUUUCUGAGGUUUUCUCUAAACCUGGAGGUCUGUGUUGGGAGGUUGGCCUUGGUGGAAUUGAUGGAAAUUCCUGUCGAGUGUUGACUUUGGCGAUUCUUUCUGUAAUGUUAUUGCGUGUUUUUUAUGGAAAUGGCAACAAUCACAAACUGGUGUUUAGUUCGUCUGUGAGGGGCGAUGUAUACAGAGUUGUUAAGUAAUGAUGGCCUUACUGUUUCUGGAAACAAUUUCCGCAGAGUUCGAGGUGUGGAUAUGAAGAAUGAUUUCGCCUUUGUUGUAAGUUGUCAUCUAUUCUUGUCUUUAUUUGUUUCAUUUGACUUCAUUUUCUCCUCAUGCCUUUGCUCCAAGGUGGCUUAGUAUCUGCCUUUGCUCCAAGGUGGCUUUUAGUAUCUGCUCUGAGGAAUUCAGUUGUAAAUGGUGGUAAGCUGUGUUACUUUAUUGUCUUGUUCCUGACAUAUUUUGAACAGGAAUUUAGCGAUCCUCGAGAUGCUGAUGAAGCUAGAUAUAACUUGGAUGGUCGUGACGUUGAAGGAAGUCGUAUUAUUGUGGAGUUUGCCAAGGGGGUAUGAAUUUUCCCUUCAUGGUAUUAUCUGCACAAGAAUAUUCUUAUAAUUGAUUUUCUCGUUUGUCGGGUGUCCGUUGGGUCCAACGAUUCCAAUAUUUCUCUGCCUUAUUUUAAUGUGGGUGGUAUUUAACUUUUUUGAAUACCUAUUUUAGUAUUUAAAUAUUUUUGUUCUUUGACUUCGUAGUUGUGUCAUCAGCCUAUUCAUUUUUUGUAUAUAAAUUCUAGUACAAGAAUAAAUUUUAAUUAAAUGACAAUGUCUCUUAUGUUUACCUUUUUCUGAUUGACUUUUAUUACUUUACUAAUUGUUUUCUUCAAAACUUAAUAAACAGAUAUUCAAUCUUUUCGUGACCCUGUCAUUUUGUAAUUUCAUUGCCAGUGUUCAUUGACUAGUGUGAGCACAUUUUGAUACAUUGCUUGUUAAUUUAUUUUGUCAUCUGAUAUUUGAUUAAUCAGGGUCCUCGUGGUUCCCGGGAAUACAUGGGUCGGGGUCCACCGCCUGGAUCUGGACGAUGCUUUAACUGUGGCAUUGAUGGUCAUUGGGCUCGUGAUUGCAAAGCUGGGGAUUGGAAGAAUAAGUGUUACCGCUGUGGGGAAAGAGGUCAUAUAGAGAAGAACUGCAAGAACAGUCCCAAAAAACUGAGGUAGGCAUGAUGUGGUUUCCAAACUUAUUGUACGUGUGUUUUUAAUUUGGUUGUUACUUUCUAAUGGAAUUCAUGAGCUUUAAACUAAUGUUUCCGAAUUGAAUAUUCGCAGCAGCAGACGUGGACGCAGUCGUUCUCGAUCACCUGUGAGGUCACGUUCUCCUCGUCGUGGGAGAAGCAGGGAUAGAAGCUACAGCCGUGACCGAAGCUACAGGUUGGAUUCUUGGUUGUUUCUAAUCUUUAUGGUAUCAAUGAUACUACAAUUUCAGUUAAAUAGUAUGUUGUUUCACUAGUCAGCUGUUUAUGUGCUGAGUUGCACUUUUGUUCUGGCCAGUCGAUCGAGAUCUCCUCCUGUUAGGAGAGAACGUAGCCCAGUUUCUGAAGAUAGAUCACGGAGUCCUCAGCCCUCCAAAAUAAGGAGGCAUAGUGCAUCGCCUGACCGAGGCAGCCCCCAGAAGGGAGGUGUCAGAUCUCCUGGUAAUGAUAGGUUGGUCAAUCAGCGAGAUGGGUCUGAAUACAGUGAUGGUUCAAGAGGGAAAAGUAGAAGCCCUGCAAGGGACCGUAAUGUGCGGGGCUAUGAUAGCCCUAAAGCUAAUGGACGUAGUGGCAGUCCCAGCCGUAGUCCUAGGGAUGAUGACAGGAGCCCCAUUGAUGAAGAUGAUGACAACCACCGCCGCUCACAGUCACCUUAGAAAGUACUUUCUGAUAAAUGAGGUCAGGACGGGGUCCAGUUUGUAUCUUGAAUGCACUCCAAUUAAUUCUGUGACUAUUGUUUAUGAAAACGGUUUUAUGUGUGCAUGCUAUAUUUCAAAUUCAUGUUGGUCAAGCAACAUGUGUUGCUUGCUUACCUUACAUUGAAUAUGGAAUGCAUGAAUUUGUUUCAAGUGUUGGGAUUAUUUCAAGCAUAAGUAUUUUGAGAAAUUUAAAUCUUGCAUGCUUUGCAUCUUUUAAACUUAACUUAUACAAGCCUUUUCUAUUUAUUUUCAUAUUUUUGAUAAUUACUGUUAUAAUCAAAACAGUGUUACGUGAAACAACCGAUUAAUCGAGUUUGACGUCAAUAGUUAGCGCAUUGGAUUGUGGAAGCCAUUCAUGCAAAGUUUAUCGAAUUCGUCUUCGAGAGAAUUUGUGAAGUCAUUGUUCAUUCAUUAUCUGGAGGUUUAAAAAAUAGUACGAUGCUUGAUUGUUAUUAUUUCUUAUGAAAACUUUCUCACCUUGGAAUAACUAGAUAUUCAUCGUUUCGAAGUAAAGCUACGGUGGACUUGACCAUGUGAUAUACGGGAACUAAUUUUAUAUGCCAUUAUAUUCAUCUUGUCGUUGCCGUUACCAAAGGCACUCUCCACCGUUAAACGUUCGCCCUCUUUCGCUAUCCUUAUCCGCAAUCAUCAUCAUCCACCAUCUGUGACAUUGCCUAAGGUUAGUGCGUUUUCCACACCAUCAACCUCUAUUGGAAUCGGAAAACUUGUGACGCAGAACAAGGAGCGGUGCGUAUAUGUCGGUAACCGUAGUGUAUGUCAGGAUGUUGUUAUUGCCCCCCACUUAAGAUAAAUGACAGAUAAGUCACCAUGCAUGAUGAGUUCAACAACGAGGUUGAGGAUCACGUUGGGAUCCAAGGGAGGUACUUCUUGAUGGUGAAAUCGACAUUGAAUGAUGUUUUCACUAAAGUUUAUUUCUUUUCAUUAAUCUAUUUUUGGGUUUAGUUUUGUAAGUCUUGGAUUCAGUCGUACAUAUACUUGUUAGGGAUGGAGGUAUGAAAGUAGAGAAGGGGAAAAUCAAUUGCAGUGAUAGCGAAGGAUAGCAGAAGAAAAAGGUGGAGGCUCGGGGAAGGAACACUGUUGCCGACAAUCGUCUCCGUCGACAUGGAAAAAUUUGUUGCACGAAUUGUGUAAACAGACAUAUCACACAAACGAUUAAUCUAAUGGUUUAUAACAAUGAAAUACGUGAACCACCUGUCAUACUGGUUUACUGUAGCCUUUGCCAUCAUUUCAAGUUCUACUUUUUAAAUUAAAGCAGGUUUUUGGAGGUAUUUUUUUGUUAUUUCUUGUCUUUAUUUUAGUUAUAAAACCGGUUCUGCUUAUUAAUGCUUUAAGGAAGUGAAUUGAUUAUUGGAACACUUCUGGAAAUUUCGUUGAAGGACGUCAUAAUUUUUUAACAAUUUUUUCGUUGAUAAUGGAAAAACAUGACGACUGACAAUGAGAGAAAAUUCUUAAGAAACGUUGGCUAUAAAGAAAUGAAGGUUGAGAGGGACAUUUGAAUAUAAAAGAGUCAAAAGUUUAAAGUGAUUUGUUUUUCGUGCAAAACAACAAAGUUCUCAAGCAUCAAAUCUUAUCUUAUGGCAAUAUCUUAUCAGAGAUGAAACGUAAGUUGCCUAAAUAUAAAUCUCUCGUAUAUGCAUAUUGAAAAUUUCCUUUUAUGUGAUAUUUGUUUUAAAAUAUAAAAAAAUCAACUGUAAUACUCAAUAAAUUUGGUUACGAUGAAAAGGUUUUGAAGCAUCGACCAUUAAGAGGAAUGUUGAAAAUUCAACCUCAUAAUUAAUUAUACAAAGUUAACAUAUAAUGAGUCGAUAUAAUAAAUUUUAUUUAUUUUACAAAAUGAUUCAUCUAUAUAAUUAUAUAUAUGAAUUUUGAAUUUGUAUCCAAGAAUUUAGAGAUAUGUUCAUAACCAAAUACAAUUAUAAAAAAAUAUUUAACUAUAUCUAAAUAAUUCAGAUCUAUCUAAACAACUUAGAUAAGCAAAUAUUAGACUGGAAAAUAUACAAUAUUAGACAUAUACUUAUAUAACUAAUUAUGCUUGUUUGGUUAUUAAGUAUUUAUUCUAAGAACCUAAAAAUUUAUAAGUACAUGAUAACAUCAACGAAAUUGGUCACUCAUCCUUUUCCACUUAAUACACUGAUACAUUGAUAUUUCCGUAAAAUUCUUAUAGAUUCGAACAUUAAGAAUAUUUUGCAGGUGGAUUACUGCUAAAAAAACUUUUUUCACUUAGGAAAAUGAUACAUUAAAAUUUUAUCUUUUUAUUCAUUGUUUGUGCACAUGUACUCAUUGGAUUGAUACAUCAAGAUAAUAUAGCAACCAAAAUUACCGAAUUUCCUAUUUUUAUUAUAUAUUGAAAAUUGUAAAAAUCAACCAGUAGAAACAAAAUUUAAAACUUAUUUAUAUUAAGUAAUAAGAUAAAAUUCUGCAAUAGUUAGAAUUUAAUAUUGUAUUUAAUUAGGAAAAUCAUUGUUUUUUAUUCAUUUAAAAAUAAUAUCUGUUAAAAUAAACACGAAUUUUUUUUUAUCUUAAUUUUAAUAAAAUAUUAACAUACUAAUUAUCAAUACGAUUGUAUUUAAUGUAACAAGGCGUUGGGUGUAAUAUUUAUUCUAAAUUUAUGUUUGAAAAACUAGUUGAAAAAAUUAAGUAGAAGCUGAAAAGAGUAGUUAUUAGUAACUGAUAGAGUUAAAGUGUUAAACUAGCUUAUUAAAAAGUAUUUUGGUAAAAUUAUUAUUCAAAUAGUUAAGAAAAGUAAAAUACUAGGAAUAUACACAUUAAAAUGAAAUUUUACACAAAAUUCAAUUUAUUGAUAAAAAUAUAUUUUAGAAUAUUUAUAAUUUUAGCGUUAAUAAAUUUAAACUUUUUAUCUUUUAUUUACACACACAAUUUAAAUUUGUAUACUUUUAAUUAUUAUAUUCUUUUUCGUAUUUUGUUUUAUACUAGUUCUCUUUCAUUAAACUAAAAUUAAAAUAUUAAAUUUUAAGUGUGCUUUGUACUUAAAUUUAAUUUUAAAAAUUAAUCAGUACAAUCCUUAAAAAAUGGUAUAUCAUAAAAAACUGUAACAUGUCUAAUGUUAAAAUAAUAAAAUAAAACAAAAAAUAAUUUAUUAUUAUUAUUAUUAUUAUUAUAUUACAAGAUUAAAAGAAGAUUUUAAUAAAUAGUUUAGAGAUUAAGGGUGAAUGAAUAUAAAAAGUUAGAAGUUAAUGUCUCACAUUCUAAAUUUUUUUGAAUUAUAUAAUUUAGAACUAAAAAUGAAUAUCCAUUUAAAAUGUAUCGAGGUGCAUGUUUAAAUUAUGGGAGUGCAGGAUGCAUUAGCAUUUGUCCUUUCAUGUUUAUUUUUCAUGAAAAGCCCAAUUUCUGGCCCAAUUAACAAAAAGAAUGUAUAGAGAUAUGUGGCAGAGGUCUUCUAUAAAUCAAUCAUCGGAUAGUAGCCGAUCUACUUUGAAAGGGUUAGGUUUGGACAAAAACAUCAAUCCGCUCCGGGGUAUCCUUUCUAUUCCCUCUAUUUCUUCCAAUUGUUUGAUUCGCCUUUUCCACUUUUGGUGCUAGUCUCUAUUGGAAUUUCUCUCUGGAUGUUUCUCUUCUCAUCAAUUUCUGAUUUAAUAAUUUACCGAUUUGUUUGUUUUCUGCUAAGUAGGUUUUUGAAAUUGACCAAAUGUUUGAAAUUCAAUUAUUUUUUCCAUAAUCCAUUCCCCUUUAUUUCAAUUUCAGAUUUUUGUUUCUGCUGAGAGAAGGGGUCUGUGUGACCGCUUUCAUAAUUAACCCCGAAAUUUCAUUUUGUUUAUUUUGCAGAACUAGAAGCAAUCAACGAUGCCUCGCUAUGAUGAUAAAUAUGGCAAUACACGCCUGUACGUGGGACGCUUGUCUCAGAAUACCCGUUCCCGUGAUCUGGAGCGUGUUUUCGGCAGAUAUGGAAGGUAAUUCCCCUUUUUUUAAUCAUUAAUUCUUAUCUUUCGAAUUAUAUAGAGAACCAUAGACUUGAUUAUUUUUCUACGCAACCUCAGCCAUUUUCAAAAGCAAUGUUAUUUACAUGCAAGUUUUGAGAUUGCGGUUGUGGAUUCAUCGCGAUUCUUCAUGUUACAGAAAAUUUCAGACAAAUAACUGUUAUUACAGUGUUGAGGCCGACAACACAGUUUGGGUCCGUCUUUUAACUACCAUGCUUACUUGUAAAGGGGCUAUUUGACCUUUUAAUUUUUAACAUGUUUUUGUUGUUAUUCCAUGCUUGUUUGUUUGUCUAUAUGGAAGAUUGGCUUUGUUCUUUAGUACUUCAUUUCUUGCUUAGAGUGGUCAGGAUGUUUUACGUUGUUUUGUCCUAUCUAUUUAAUGUUUAAAUUGCUUGACUUUUUGUAAUUGAUGUUUGGAAUUGUGUGAUUCAUCUUUAUUGUUUACAUUGGCUAGGGAGUUAAGUUAGUGAUUUGUUGCCGUCGGCUGUCGACCUUGUUUUAUGCUGAAACUUAGGGUGGUGAUGUACAGGUUUUAUCUGAGCUUGGAUUUGUAUUGUUAUUUGUCAUGUUAUGCGUGGGAACCGAAUCCCCUAGGUGUCAUGUUUUAACAUGAAUAAUCUUGUUGAAGGUUUCUGUGGUUUUCUCUAAACCUGGAGGUCUGUGUUGGGAGGUUGGCCUUGGUGGAAUUGAUGGAAAUUCCUGUCGAGUGUUGACUUUGGCGAUUCUUUCUGUAAUGUUAUUGCGUGUUUUUUAUGGAAAUGGCAACAAUCACAAACUGGUGUUUAGUCCGUCUUUGAGGGGCGUUGUAUACAGUUCCAGUAGUUAAGUAAUGAUGGCCUUACUGUUUCUGGAAACCAUUUCCGCAGAGUUCGAGGUGUGGAUAUGAAGAAUGAUUUCGCCUUUGUUGUAAGUUGCCACCCUAUUCUUGAUCUUUUGUCUAUUUCUUUUGACUUCCAUUUCUCCUCAUGCCUUUGAUCCAAGGUGGCUAUUAAUGUCUGCUCGGAAGAAUUCAGUUGUAAAUGAUGGUAAGAUUCUGUUACUUUAUCGGCUUGGUACUGACAGCUUUUGAACAGGAAU
Molecule: long non-coding RNA, 7379 nt
Filed under: Phaseolus vulgaris (common bean)
Lineage: Eukaryota; Viridiplantae; Streptophyta; Magnoliopsida; Fabales; Fabaceae
Description: long non-coding RNA (PVUL_LNC005201)
Source: RNAcentral